This 862-nucleotide ribosomal RNA is filed under the name uncultured bacterium. RNAcentral describes it as "bacterial SSU rRNA". It matches the Rfam family "Bacterial small subunit ribosomal RNA", at positions 8 to 916 of the family's 1533-position model. The record is from RNAcentral.
AGAGUUUGAUCAUGGCUCAGAACGAACGCUGGCGGCAGGCCUAACACAUGCAAGUCGAGCGCCCUCGCAAGAGGGAGCGGCGGACGGGUGAGUAACGCGUGGGAAUUUUCCUCAAGGUACGGAACAACUCAGGGAAACUUGGGCUAAUACCGUAUGAUGUCUAGCGACCAAAGAUUUAUCGCCUUGGGAUAAGCCCGCGUCAGAUUAGGUAGUUGGUGGGGUAACGGCCUACCAAGCCUGCGAUCUGUAGCUGGUCUGAGAGGACGAUCAGCCACACUGGGACUGAGACACGGCCCAGACUCCUACGGGAGGCAGCAGUGGGGAAUCUUGCGCAAUGGGCGAAAGCCUGACGCAGCCAUGCCGCGUGAAUGAUGAAGGUCUUAGGAUUGUAAAGUUCUUUCGCUCGUGACGAUGAUGACGGUAACGAGAGAAGAAGCCCCGGCUAACUUCGUGCCAGCAGCCGCGGUAAUACGAAGGGGGCUAGCGUUGUUCGGAAUUACUGGGCGUAAAGCGCGCGUAGGCGGUUUUGCAAGCCAGAGGUGAAAUGCCUGAGCUCAACUUAGGAAUUGCCUUUGGGACUGCGAGGCUUUGAGGACUGGAGAGGUGAGUGGAAUUCCCAGUGUAGAGGUGAAAUUCGUAGAUAUUGGGAAGAACACCAGUGGCGAAGGCGGCUCACUGGCCAGUUUCUGACGCUGCAGCGCGAAAGCGUGGGGAUCAAACAGGAUUAGAUACCCUGGUAGUCCACGCUGUAAACGAUGAGUGCUAGGCGUCGGCACGCUUGCGUGUCGGUGCCGCAGCUAACGCGUGAAGCACUCCGCCUGGGGAGUACGGUCGCAAGAUUAAAACUCAAAGGAAUUGACGG